CCUGCGGCCAUAUCAGAUUGAAACAACGGUUCACGUACGAUCACCAAAAUAAAGCAACGUCGAGCCUGGUCAGUACCUAGAUGGGUGAGCGCUUGGGAAUACCAAGUGCUGGA
Acanthosepion pharaonis is the source of this 113-nucleotide non-coding RNA. Lineage: Eukaryota; Metazoa; Mollusca; Cephalopoda; Sepiida; Sepiidae. The record is from the annotation of a GenBank genome assembly.